UCUUGGCAGCCAUUUUGAUGGAAGACAUUUGCAAUCUAAAAAUAUUUCAAAUAUUUUGAUAAAACAUCAAAAUAAUAAACGAUGUGACAGGCUUAUAUCAGUCGCUUACUUUUACUCCGCUUAGGAGAUAAUGUAUGAAGGGAAAAAUAUCCAUUAUUCCUCAUUUGACAAGAAACCGCUAUGUUCCUUCAGCACUAAAGUAUGUAAUCAACAUCGCUUGAAUGGCUACGCCUUUUGUGUACGACAUAUCUUAGAGGAUCCGACAGCACCAUUCAGAAGAUGUUCUUAUGUUGCUAAAUCUAGUGGACAAAAAUGUACCCAGGCUAUUCCAAAGCAUGAAGACAGAGAGUACUGCAAUAACCAUAUGCAGGUUCUUGGAAUGAUACCUAGAAAAGAGAAGAAGGUGAAGAAAGAUAGAAUUACAGAAAAUAUGUUGUCUGAUGUAAAGAUACCUUUCCAAGAUAGAGUAAAGUCACGAUUCAAUAUUAACAAGCUUCAGAAUGACAAUGCUUUGCAUUCAAACCCUGCAGAUGACCCAGAUGAUCCGUAUGCAUUUCCAGAUUCAUCAGGAGACUCAAAGAUCAUUACAACUAUUGUACAGCCCACAACACCAUCAUCAGCAGGUGAUUCCCCUUCGUCAGCCAAUCAUCCGUUUGUAAAGUCACCAGGUGACUCCUGUGGCAGUGGGUCAUCUAUUGCAAAAUUUUACCCUGAGUUGGCUGAAAAAUUGGAAAAAAUUAAACCAAAGAAUGAUGCUUUAAAGCUGAAAGACAAAGGGAAAGAUAAAAGUUCAAGAACCAUGAAUAGUUUACAAACAAGAAUAGCUCAGAAUAGAAUAAAGUCAAAGCGAAGGGGAACACAAGAUUCAUCGUCUCAAUCACAGUCUCCCUUGCAUUUAGGGAAAUCCCCAUUACACCCAGGAUCUUUGAAUGACAUAUAUUCAGGUUUUGCUAAUCAUAUUGAUUUGGACAAGCCACAGAAAACUCCUCCUGCUUACAAUCAUUUUGAUGCUUCUCCAACAGAGCCUACAAAAAGUGCUAAUAUUCCUGGAAUAGAAUUGAAAAGGCCUCCACCUUCUUACUUUAGACAACCAUUUGACAGAGCUCCUGUCAUGGCAUCCGUAAAUUCGCCGGUUGUUUCUAUUGAAGAAAAGGUUGUGAAGACACAGCCUACUGUUAGUUCACAAAAGCCAGUUCAGUCAAUCAAUCAUAGUGUUCAGAUGGAAAUACCACAUGGAACCCCUUUACAAUCACUACCUGGCAUGUCAAACAGACUGCCGAUUCCUAACAUGCCAAAUGCAUUUAACCUUGAUCUGGGGACAUCUUUGCCUAAUUUUGCUGCCUACUUGCAUGCAAUGCAAGGUAAGAAUCAAUAUUUGGCAGGACUGCCACCACAAUUGAUCCCUUCAUUGAACCUCCAGCCUGGAUCAGUUCCAUUUAUAAACCUUAAUUCUGCGUCAGCUACAGGUAAUUUAAACCAAAAUGUUGGAGAAAAGUUGGUAACACCUCAAUCCAUUCCACAGCCAGACAUUACUAAAAGGCCAUUACCACCACCACCGCCAUUAUUAUCACCUUCUGGUCUUACCAAUAUUUUUCCAGCAGUGUGUGGAGGCUCUACAACUACAACAUCUGUCACAUUUACAGCCCCAUCACAACCAAUUAGACCACCGCCUCCACCAUACAGCAGUGCUGUGGCUCAGGCACUUAACAAGCCUCCUGUUGCGACAGUAGCCACUAGUAAAACAACAUUUACGAAACCUGUAUUGAAUGUGAUACCUAGUGUUAACACUUCACUGAUGUCUGCCAAGCCGGCAAAGAUGAAGCAUGUUCUCUCGGAUCAGGAAAUCGACAAGAAGAUCAAGACAGAAAUGGCCAAGAAGUACUACAAUGCUUUCCUCAAGAGGAAAAUCUACAAUCAUUCUCUGUUGAAAGCCGGUAUAGACAGUUCAGAUGAUUCCAGUGAUGAUGAGAAAAAUGGUUUGUUACCAUGGCAACCGAAAUGGUUUUGUGCAUCAUCCGAUGAAGAAGGGAUGGAUGAAGAAGAAGAUCAAAAUGAUGUUAUACGAACAACUAAGCUUGCAUUAUUGCGAGCAAGAUUACGGAGACAUUGUUCCCAGUCUCGGAAAGCCUUCAAAGGGAAUGUUAAUGAACAAGUGUCCAGUAAAUCAGCUACAAUGUCACUCAUAAAUUCUGCUAGAGAGAGUGGUAAAGCUACUGUUUGUGUCAUAAAGGAGAAAACAAAUGAACCACAACCAAGAGUGUUCAGGUACAAAAGGCGAGGUUUGGAUAGAAGGCAGUGUCUGUACAAGAAUGACGAGGAAGAACAGUGCCCAAAUUCAGUUGUUCCUUGUGCUAAUCAUUGUCUUAAACAUAUCAUGUACAAUAUUGACCAGCAGUUAUUUGAUUACUGUACAGCCAAGACAGCAGACAAUGUACAGUGUUGUAUACCUGUGAUAGAUAUCAGCCAUGAACUACCUCUCUGUGUCAAACAUGCCAGGGAAGUUGAUGACAGUUACAAAUUAGAAGAAGAAGAAAUCAAACCUAAAAGACCCCGUAAGAAGACAAAACCCUCAGCUCUAACACGACCUCCAAAGAAAGGCAAAAAGAAAAAGAAUCAGAGAAAAUCUGCAGCACUUCAGGCUAACAUUGACAGCAUGGAUACAACAGAAGAUCCACCAACUGCAUCAGAAUCAGCUAUCUCAGGAGAUGUGGAAAUGGAUGCUAAUUCUGGUAGUGGAAGUGACGAGUCAGAUGAAGGGGAGACAACUACACCACAGGUCAAAGAUCCGAGUUCAAAACCUCCAAGUCCUUUACCAGUACCUGCUCCUCCUCCUGUAACGGUUCAGGUGACAAAACCACUCGCACUGCCAACACCACAUUCUCGUCCACUACAUGUUACAAGACCAAAAGUAGAACAACACAAGGAUUUCUUGGGAGAAUUACCUGAUAGUGUGUUGGCAGCAAAUUUGCCAGCAGAUUUGAAUUUGAACAAGGGACUAGAGCUGCCUUUAGAACAGGCUUCCAGGUUGUUAGAAGAACAUGAUUUCCAAGAUGUGCUCAACAAAAUUCCAGAUGAAACAUUUGAUAUGUUUUCAGGAGGAAAGAAUGGUGAACCAACAAAAGAAGAAAUGGAUGAACUUGAAAGGCAUCUAGCUGCGGCAAACAUGGAUCUGAACUCUGCCCAGGAAGCAUUAAGUACUGUAACAGACUAUGACGAUCAGAUCAGAAUUUUAGCCUCCAUUUUAACUAAUCAGCCAACUUCUCAUAUUGGGGGUGAUAAUGUUAAUGGCACAGUAGAUGAACAUGCACAGGAAAACAUCAACAUGAUUGCCAAUAGUUUGGCAUCCUCACAUUCAACAAAUACAACAGUUUCUUCUGGUCAAGUAUUUCAUCAAAAUCAAAUUCCACAGUUUCUUAUUUCUCAUCAGAAUAACCAAGUAAGUCCUUUGCAUCAUUCUACAGUAAUGAACAACAUGGCAGCAGUAAACACUGGAAGGGGUCAGGUCCAUCAACUCUCUCAAGGCCAACAACGUGGAAGUCCUGGACCAAUUCAUUCUCAACAGAUGAGUCCUGUCAACAAUCAGAUGCGGAAUUCACACAGAGGAAGUCCAGUUGGUCAAGUUGUCCACCAAGGAAGUCCUGUUAGCCAGCAAACUGGCCAGGUUCACCGUGUGCAGAGUCCAAAUACACCACAUGCUGGAAGUCCAGUCCAAAAUUUAAAGAUGCCAGUUCAGGUGACCAGUUCUGUUCACCAGUCUAAUGUUCACAGUGUACAGAAUAUUGUACAUCAUAUAAAACCUGGUACUGUCUUACCGUCUGGAAUUGGAAAUGGAAUACAACUUCAAAAUCUUCAAUCAGUUGGGCAUCGUCCAAUGCUUGUUCAAACUGUUCAUUCAAAUAUGGGCCAGACUGUUACACGUGCCUCAGGACAGCAAGCUUAUUCUCAUCCAAAUCUGUCGGAAAGGAUAAAUAGUGUUCAGACCUCAGUUCACAUGUCACCAUUAGUACAGACAGCCGGUCACCAAUCAAACUUGAUUCAUGGUAGUAUCAAUCAACAGUUGAAUCUUGCUCUUCCAGGAAGUGUGCUUCAUCAAAAACUUAUUCAACAAGCAAGUUUAGGAAAUUUAUCAAAUAAAGCCCACAUUCAACAAAACUUGUCAGGAAAUGUGCAGUAUUUGGUAACUACUAUGGGAAAAACUGCUAACCAGUCUGAUGUUGUCUCUUCAAAUGUAAUACAAUCACCCCAUGUUUCAUCACAAGGUCAUGUGACAGGAAAUGUGCAAUCUACAUCCCAUAAUGCUUCAUUGCCAUAUCAUAUUUACCAAAGUAACCAUCUGAUUCAACAGUCCCUGGGACAACAGUCUAAAAUAAUAUCAAGUAUCACAAAUGCUGGGACCAAAACAACUCCUGUUUUACAACAGACUAAAGCAGCCAUUUCGACUUCUGUGCCAACAACAGGUACUUCAAGGAUUGCCUUUCAAAAUGGAUACCCUGCUCAAAGUGCUCAAUUUACAAACAAUGAUGUAAAUAGUGGAAAGUAUGUGAUGUCUGCUGCUCAUGGGGUGCAGAACUGUACUGAUCAACAGUUAUUACAAAAUAUAGCCCAAACCCUGGUCACGGCACCGCAUCAUAUUCCACCGACUUUUGAAAAUCCAAAAAAAACUCAAAUCACUUCACAAAGGAUAGCACAGACUGGAACUGGUUCGUGAUAUCAACUGAGAUAUUAUUUUAUGUAUCUUUUCAAUUUUACUUUCAAGAUAACAGUCUAAAAAGAUGUCAUAUUCUUUCAAAUCAUUUAAACAAUUUCAGUUUAUUUUAUCUACAAAAGGCUGUCUGAUUGGUAUAUCUGUUGAUGUAACUUUGUCUCAUUGUGAUAAUUAUAAAAAAAAAAGAAUUGCAUUUAUAUUUUUAUAUACAUUCAGAUUAUUAAUUUACUAUAGUAAUUGCUAAUUCUUUUUCCAUGUUUUCAUUCAUUCCAUGAAAAGGUCUAUGUAAAGUAUUUAAAUUGAUUUUAACUUCUGAUGAACAUGCAAAGAAAACAUUAUAAGAUAAUCAGAAUUCUUAGAUAAAAUUAUUAAGGUUUUUGUCUAAAUUAUUUUUUUUAUUUUCUACUCAAUGGUCAAAAUUAAAAAAGAAAUGGACUAUUAUAUUUUUACAGAUUUUACAAAAAAUUUAACCCAGUAUCAUUGUGAAGCAACUUACUUUUAAUGGAGAUUCACAUAAGAAUGGUUAAAAUUGUAAGGUAUGUUGUUUAUUACUGCUUUAAAUUAAAAAGCAAAAAAAAAAAUGAACAAAAUAAAAUUUUACAUAGACCUGGUGUGAAAGUGUACUUUUAUAUCAUUCAUCCUGUUGAUGUGUUUUUGGUGCUAUAUUUUAUUGUUUUUAUAUAAUGCUUUCACCAAUAUCAGAAUCUCAUUUUGUUAAAGAUAUCCAUAUAAUCUGUUAAAAAACAAAUCCUGUUUCUUAUGCCACACUUGUAUCAAUUUGAAGACAACCUCUAAAAAGACUUUUUUGCAUUAUUUCUUAUUUUCAAAAGUUGAUUUCAUCUGAAUUGUUGCCACUCUAUAGUUUAUUAUUUAUAACAUCAAUUAUUCUAGUUUAUUAAAAUGAGCAGGAUAUUUAUUGAACAAAUGGCUUAAUUAAAAGAAGAACUAAAAUAUUUUUUGAAUUUAUACAGCUUAUGUAUUUCAGUUUGUGUAAAAUACCGUAGGUAGGAGGACCACAAAGUUUAUCAAGGUAUUGAACUUCAUGAUUGUAGUAAAAUAAAUAUUAAAUAUAAUUGUUAGACAAUCAAAUCAUUGAACAGGUAAUACAAAAAAAUGCCUUAAAUUAGAUAUUUUAUGUGGCUACAUCAAAAUUUUGAUCUUUACCAAAACAAGAGAAACACACUCAUUCAAGUUUAUAACUGUAAAUUCUUAUUGCCAGAUACUGCUUUUAAAGGUCACAUGCAAUAGUUUUGGAGUAUGUAUAUAUAUGGAUACCUUUCCAUAAUGCAAUUUUUUUUUAACAUUUUGUCAGCAGAAAAAGGCACACAGACAGUAUUAUCCAUCUGAAUUGUUAUUGUGAAUGAAUUUUUUUAAUGAAAAAAUUGGUCAACGAAAAAACAAAAAAUAUACGAUUUAUAGCAUUUAAAGUGAAAGAAGUACAGUAUGUAGGAUGACCUAUAAUUGCUUUAAUCUAUGUCAUUUAGACUCUGUUGGAUAGUUGUCACAUUGGCAAUCAUACCACAUCUUCCUUUAUAAUAAAAUAACAUGAAAUAAAAACAAUGGAUGAUUAAACAAAAGAAUUUUGUUUAAUGUUCUUGUUUUAAGUACUGUACUUUUUUCAGAGUUGUGCACAACUUGUUUUUAUACGACUUUUGCGGUCGUAUUUUGGUAUCAUAUCGUCGUCAACGUUGUCCAAAGACAAUGGGUUUCCGGGCAAUAACUUUAGUAAAUGUAUAUAGAAAUCUAUGAAAUUUAAACACAAGGUUUAUAACCACAAAAGGAAGGUUGGGAUUGAUUUUGGGGGUUAUGGUACCAACAGUUAAGGAAUUAGGGGCCAAAAAGGGGCCAAAAAUGAGCAUUUUCUAGUUUCCAGACAAUAACUGUGGAACGGUGUAUGGAUCUCUCUGAAAUUAUACUACAAGUUUCCAUACCACAAAGGGAUGGUUAGGAUUUGCUUUGGGGGGUUAUGGCUCAAACCGUUUAGGAAUUAGGGGCAAAAAAGGGGGAAAAACAAGGUUGUCCUGGUUAAUGGACAAAUACUUUAGUACAAAACAUAAUUUAAAGCAGUGUAAUGGAGAUAAAUCAAAUACAUCAUUGAAAUUAUCUCCCUUACACUGCUUUUAAAUUAUGUAUAAAGUAAUGGUUAAUGAACAAUAAAGAUAAUCUAAAACAGUGUAAGGGAGGUAAUCCAAAUACAACGUUUUGGUUACUUCCCUUACACUGCUUUUAAAUUAUGUUUAAAGAAAUGCAUAUUUAUAAAGGAAGACCAGUAAAAAUAUCUGCAAAUGUUUUCAUCUUUUUUUUUUUACAAAAAAAUCCAUAUGAAAGAUUUGACACUAUAUUUUUAUUAAUUCUAUUAUAAAAUAGAUUAAGUUAGCACGAUGGUAAAUUUAAAUGGGUAAUUAUGGUUGCCAACUCCAUUGGAAAUUUGAAUUGAGAUUAUAAUCAUA
RNA transcript from Mytilus californianus (California mussel), 7155 nucleotides. It is a transcript of the gene named INO80 complex subunit D-like, with no coding region annotated. The record is from RefSeq and is a predicted model, not a curated record. The transcript is spliced from 12 exons. Lineage: Eukaryota; Metazoa; Mollusca; Bivalvia; Mytilida; Mytilidae.